AUUGAACGCUGGCGGAGUGUUUUACACAUGCAAGUCGAACGGCAGCACGGACUUCGGUCUGGUGGCGAGUGGCGAACGGGUGAGUAAUGUAUCGGAACGUGCCCAGUCGUGGGGGAUAACGUAGUGAAAAUUACGCUAAUACCGCAUACGAUCUAUGGAUGAAAGCGGGGGAUCGCAAGACCUCGCGCGAUUGGAGCGGCCGAGAUCAGAUUAGGUAGUUGGUGGGGUAAAGGCCCACCAAGCCAACGAUCUGUAGCUGGUCUGAGAGGACGACCAGCCACACUGGAACUGAGACUCGGUCCAGACUCCUACGGGAGGCAGCAGUGGGGAAUUUUGGACAAUGGGCGAAAGCCUGAUCCAGCCAUUCCGCGUGCAGGAUGAAGGCCCUCGGGUUGUAAACUGCUUUUGUACAGAACGAAAAGGUUUCUACUAAUACUAGGAGCUCAUGACGGUACUGUAAGAAUAAGCACCGGCUAACUACGUGCCAGCCGCCGCAGUAA
RNAcentral lists this ribosomal RNA (500 nucleotides) under uncultured bacterium. RNAcentral describes it as "partial 16S ribosomal RNA". It matches the Rfam family "Bacterial small subunit ribosomal RNA", at positions 30 to 523 of the family's 1533-position model. The record is from RNAcentral.